Molecule: ribosomal RNA, 415 nt
Filed under: uncultured bacterium
Lineage: Bacteria
Description: bacterial SSU rRNA
Rfam family: Bacterial small subunit ribosomal RNA
Source: RNAcentral
GAUGAACGCUGGCGGCGUGCCUAAUACAUGCAAGUCGAGCGAACCACUUCGGUGGUGAGCGGCGAACGGGUGAGUAACACGUAGGUUAUCUGCCCAUCAGACGGGGACAACGAUUGGAAACGAUCGCUAAUACCGGAUAGGACGAAAGUUUAAAGGUGCUUCGGCACCACUGAUGGAUGAGCCUGCGGCGCAUUAGCUAGUUGGUAGGGUAAAGGCCUACCAAGGCGACGAUGCGUAGCCGACCUGAGAGGGUGAACGGCCACACUGGGACUGAGACACGGCCCAGACUCCUACGGGAGGCAGCAGUAGGGAAUCUUCGGCAAUGGGCAAAGCCUGACUGAGCAACGCCGCGUGAAGGAUGAAAAUCCCUCGGGAUGUAAACUUCGCAAGAACGGGAAGAAUAAGUAGGGGACAA